GGUCCAAAUUUGAAGUAGAGUAGAUCAGUAAAAUCAGCUGACCAUACUUAUCUACUCUACUUCAAGUUUGUGCCC
Molecule: non-coding RNA, 75 nt
Organism: Haemonchus placei
Lineage: Eukaryota; Metazoa; Nematoda; Chromadorea; Rhabditida; Trichostrongylidae
Source: Rfam